RNAcentral lists this ribosomal RNA (252 nucleotides) under uncultured bacterium. Its description in RNAcentral is "partial 16S ribosomal RNA". It matches the Rfam family "Bacterial small subunit ribosomal RNA", at positions 524 to 776 of the family's 1533-position model. The record is from RNAcentral.
UACGAAGGGUGCUAGCGUUGUUCGGAAUUACUGGGCGUAAAGCGCGCGAGGCGGCUAUCCAAGUCAGGGGUGAAAUCCUUGGGCUCAACCCAAGAAUUGCCCUUGAAACUGGAUAGCUAGAGUGUCGGAGGGGAUAGCGGAAUUGCUAAUGUAGAGGUGAAAUUCGUAGAUAUUAGCAGGAACACCGGUGGCGAAGGCGGCUAUCUGGACGACAACUGACGCUGAGACGCGAAAGCGUGGGGAGCAAACAGG